Long non-coding RNA from Cervus elaphus (red deer), 318 nucleotides. RefSeq lists it as uncharacterized. The record is from RefSeq and is a predicted model, not a curated record. The transcript has 3 exons. Lineage: Eukaryota; Metazoa; Chordata; Mammalia; Artiodactyla; Cervidae.
GAGGACACAGGCCCACGCGCUGUUCCCUGUGCCGCUGAGCCAGGGAGGGACUUCUUCCCUUCAAUACUAAGGAGUCAUUAAAAGUUUGACUCUGAGCCAGGAAUUGAAGCAGAUGUACUGGGCUCUUGCGAAAAAGCUUGUUCCCACAAGAUUGCCAGACAAAUUCUGCAGACUCAAGAUGUUUCAAGAGUUUGGGUAAUCAUCACAAUUUUUGGACUCCUAUCUGAGGAAGAGAAUUCUCAGUUGGAAAUAUCUAGAUGUCAGAUAUCCAGAAAAGACCAAAACUGUGAUUCAAAGUGAUGCAUGCAGUCAAAUGUC